AGCCACGCAAUGUGCACAGAGCGAACUAUUCUUUCGCCUUUUACUAAAGAAUACCGUGUGCACGUUGCAUUUAGUGGCAUACGCUAAUUUUUGAAAGAGCCCUUCUUAAUUGGAGUGG
Small nuclear RNA from Arachis stenosperma, 118 nucleotides. RefSeq annotates it as U5 spliceosomal RNA. The record is from RefSeq and is a predicted model, not a curated record. The transcript has a single exon. Lineage: Eukaryota; Viridiplantae; Streptophyta; Magnoliopsida; Fabales; Fabaceae.